This 433-nucleotide ribosomal RNA is filed under the name uncultured bacterium. RNAcentral describes it as "partial 16S ribosomal RNA". It matches the Rfam family "Bacterial small subunit ribosomal RNA", at positions 29 to 507 of the family's 1533-position model. The record is from RNAcentral.
AGCGAACGCUGGCGGCAGGCCUAACACAUGCAAGUCGAACGAACUCUUCGGAGUUAGUGGCGGACGUGUGAGUAACACGUGGGAACGUUCCUUUUGGUUCGUAAUAACUCAGGGGAACUUGUGCUAAUACCGAAUGUGCCCUUCUGGGGAAAGAUUUAUCGCCAUUUGAGCGGCCAGCGUCUGAUUAGCUAGUUGGUGAGGUAACGGCUCACCAAGGCGACGAUCAGUAGCUGGUCUGAGAGGAUGACCAGCCACACUGGGACUGAGACACGGCCCAGACUCCUACGGGAGGCAGCAGUGGGGAAUGUAGCGCGAUGGGAGAAAGGCUGACGCAGCCAUGCCGGGGGAAUGAUGAAGGUCUUAGGAUUGUAAUAUUCUUUCACCGGGGACGAUAAUGACGGUACCCGGAGAAGAAGCCCCGGCUAACUUCGUG